This 1992-nucleotide long non-coding RNA is filed under the name Homo sapiens (human). RNAcentral's name for it is "HSALNT0066763". The record is from RNAcentral. Lineage: Eukaryota; Metazoa; Chordata; Mammalia; Primates; Hominidae.
ACAGAAAUGCACAGCCCUGGGGUUAGGACAGGGGAGGCAGUUCAGGCAGAGGGAACAGCAUGAACGAGCAGGCAGAGGACCUGCUGCCAUCCUCCUAGAAGGAAAUAUAUCACCAGGGGUCCAGCACAACAGGAAGCCCACUAGUAUUGCAAACAGAGGGAAUUUAAUCCAGGGGACUGGCUGCAUAGAUAUAGGUGGUACAAAAACUGACAAGGCAAAGCAGACAGCGAGCAGACCAGUGUGCAGGGUGUGUUUGGGAAGUGACUGGUAGCCUGGUAAUGGGGUGUGGGGUGUACAGCGGGGGGAGGGGUGUGUAGAGGAUGGCACAGGGCUGGAAGGCAGCUUGGGAGCAGAGUGGAAAGGCUGGUCCUACGGUGCAUGCUUGAUUUGCAAAGUUACAGAGCCUCGUCUAAAGCAUGGCCUGGUGGGCUUGAGCAGCCGUGGGAGGGUGGGCUGCUGGGCUGGCCUUGGUGGGAGGCUGCUGGGGUUGACCAGGGCAGGACUCGCCCAAGGCUGCUGCCAGAGAGGAGAGGUGGGGUGGGCUCAGAGACAUUCCCAAGGCUCAGUCUUCUGGCUCAGUGACGAAUUGAGUGGGGGGAGGGACGUCAACAAGUCUGAACACUCUGACCCGGUGCCAUCCUCCUAGAAGGAAGUGUAUCAGCCAGGGGCCCGGCCCAUCAGGAACCAUGCUAGUAUUUCCAACAGAGGGAGUUUAAUCCAGGGGACUGGUUGCAUCGGUGGUAUAAAAACUGAGAAGGCAAACGAGAUGGUGAGCAGCCCCGAGGUGAGCAAUGGGAGGACGGCGCUGCACCAUUUGGAGCAGGAGGGACAGAAAAGGGAAGCAGGUGGAGCCCGGAGGCCGGGAGCUGCCCACCAGGCAGAAGCCACAGCAGACCUGCGCAGUGGGAACUGGCGCCGGGGAGGCGCAAGCCCUGCUAGAGAUGCUUCCUAGAGCAGGGACCCAGGGGAGGAAAUGCCCCGGCGUCUCCCCUCCGCCCACCCUCUCCUCACCUGCUAUUGGCCAAACCUACCUGGAGCAAGGGACCUGGGGAGCGUAACCCUGAGAUACAAGCCAGCCCGAGAAGAAUGGGCAUGUGUGUGGGAGCAGCGGGCCGACAGGAGCACAGGAACACCAGAGGAAGCAGCUGCGGAGAAGAGACCGUGCGUCCUGAUCUGAAGAUGGGAAGCGAGAGGUCCCUCCAGGAAGGAAUGUCUAGUUUGCAGCAGCAUAGAGAGUAGGAUGGCUGGGGAGGUAGAUGUGGCAGGCGCGACUGUAGCUCUCUGUCUCAGGUUUUCUCAACCCAGGGAAAAGCUGAUUAAUGCCUGAGUCACUCUGUCCGCGAGCUGAGCCUCCUGGGUGGGGCAGGGCAAGGUGGUAUCGGGUGAUUCGGGGAUGUGCCAGCCUCAGGGAGGGGAGAGAGGAUAGUGUGCGGGAAACAGAGCUGGCCUGGAGAGGCUGUCACGCCCACAGCAUCACCCCAGUUCUGACGGCAAAGCUGUGUGACUUUGAGCAAGUGAAUGAUGCGCUCUGGGCUUCGAUUUCCUCGUCAUCACCAACCCCUGCCUCCAGCACAAGCUGCUCCACACCAGGCAACCGCCUGUAGUUGCCCAAACUCUGUGCUUCCUCAACACCCAGGCCUGCAGUAGACGCCACCCCCGACCUGGAAUCUCCUUCCCCAUUCCCACACGUCUUACUUUCUCCAGUCUUUCAGAUUCAGUCCUAGCAGACUCCCAGCACUUUGGGAGGCCGAGGCGGGCAGAUCACGAGGCCAAGAGAUUGAGACCAUCCUGGCCAACGUGGUGAAACCCUGUCUCUACUAAAAACUCAAAAAUUAGCCGGGCGUGGUGGCGCACGCCUGUAGUCCCAGCUGCUCAGGAGGCUGAGGCAGGAGAAUCGCUUGAAUCCAGGAGGCGGAGGUUACAGUGAGCCGAGAUCGCGCCACUGUACUCCAGCCUGGGGACAGAGUGAGAUUCCAUCUCAAAAAACAUAAA